This 1252-nucleotide long non-coding RNA is filed under the name Homo sapiens (human). RNAcentral describes it as "WDR5 divergent transcript, transcript variant 3 (WDR5-DT)". Lineage: Eukaryota; Metazoa; Chordata; Mammalia; Primates; Hominidae. The record is from RNAcentral.
AGAAUGCCUCGGGCCGGCCCAACGCUUUAAAGGGACAGCACGGGGCGCGCGCUUCCCGCUUAAAAGCUUUAAUCCCCGAAUUUGACUGGUGCAGGCCCUUCUAAUGCACUUCCUAAAAACUGAAGUAUAAUAAUACAUACAGGAAAGUGCUAGUGUGCCCUCGCGUUUCCACAGACAGCACGCCCUGUACACAGACACCAGCGGCCCUCCGGGACCUGCGCAGGUGGCGUCGCCCGGCGUUGUCUCCGGAGUCGAUUCGGGCCGGGGCACCUCCCCGGGCGACCAGGCCCCUUCUUGAUCAUCGCUGGUACGGAUGAGAGCGGCAGUGGGCAUUUGGAAAGCACCUGGGGCCGCGCCCGGGCGCAGUGCCCCCAUGUGGCCUCCCACCCCGGGCGGGCAGGACGAUUCCUGCCCAUCUGGAAGACCAGGAACCUGCGCGUUCACAGGGUUCGGAAGCCCGGGCUGCGCCUUCCCGCGGGGCCGGCUGCCGGGCUGGGGGCUCUUCCCGCCUCUGCAUGCACAGAGCCCGCGGUGCACGAACCUGCUCCCCGCCAGCCCCGCGGACUGGCAGGGCCGCUCUGGAGUCACCCGCGCCCGCUCCGCAGUGCGCAAACUCACUUCGCAGCGGGCUCUCCCGGGGCCAGCCCUUCCCUCCUGGGCGGGCAUUUUCACCUCCAGGUACAAGGGGGUGGUCCCCAGAGGAGGACUCAGGGGCUUAAGGAGAAGCUGAGGCCCGGUCCUCUGGCCUCAACGACUGCACAUUCUCGCCGCCUGCUUCACUUCUUAGAGCCUUGGAGGAGAUAGAACCUUCUAGUAAAAAUGAGAAAAUCCGGCCGGGCGCGGCGGCUCACGCCUGUAAUCCCAGCACUUUGGGAGGCUGAGGCGAGUGGAUCACCUGAGGUCGGGAUCACCUGAGGCUGAGGCUGAGGCAAGGAGAAUCGCUGGAACCCAGGAAAGAGGUUGCAGUGAGCCGAGAUCGCACCAUUGCACUCCAGCCUGGGCAACAAGAGCAAAACUCCGUCUCAAAAAAAUAAAAAAGAUGUUCAGAGAAACAGUUCCAUUUACUAAGUCACUGCUGGUGGCCAAAGCCUAGUUAAUGUUCUGAAAAUCUCCAUCGUGUUUGUUCCUCUUCUGUGAUUCUUAUUUUCUCUUCUAUUUUCACCUGCCAUAUUUUUUCCUGAGGCUGACAACUGUUUGGUAGGAUAUAAGAGGAUUUAAAACUUAGUAAAGCAAAUUACUUGCCUUUGUUAAA